CAGUAGCCGCGGUAAUACGAAGGGGGCUAGCGUUGUUCGGAAUUACUGGGCGUAAAGCGCACGUAGGCGGACAUUUAAGUCAGGGGUGAAAUCCCGGGGCUCAACCCCGGAACUGCCUUUGAUACUGGGUGUCUUGAGUGUGGGAGAGGUCAGUGGAAUUGCGAGUGUAGAGGUGAAAUUCGUAGAUAUUCACAGGAACACCAGUGGCGAAGGCGGCUGACUGGUCCACAACUGACGCUGAGGUGCGAAAGCGUGGGGAGCAAACAGGAUUAGAUACCCCGGUAGUCCCUGUCUCUUAUAC
Molecule: ribosomal RNA, 301 nt
Filed under: uncultured bacterium
Lineage: Bacteria
Description: partial 16S ribosomal RNA
Rfam family: Bacterial small subunit ribosomal RNA
Source: RNAcentral